Molecule: non-coding RNA, 19 nt
Filed under: Sclerotinia trifoliorum
Lineage: Eukaryota; Fungi; Ascomycota; Leotiomycetes; Helotiales; Sclerotiniaceae
Source: RNAcentral
GUUGUUAUGAUUGUUGUGC